This 475-nucleotide long non-coding RNA is filed under the name Lathyrus oleraceus (garden pea). RNAcentral describes it as "Pisum sativum (pea) long non-coding RNA (PSAT_LNC008981)". The record is from RNAcentral. Lineage: Eukaryota; Viridiplantae; Streptophyta; Magnoliopsida; Fabales; Fabaceae.
CACAUACUUAAUCACUCAACUGAACUUAACUUAACUGAACCAAUAUAACAGAAAUUGGACUAAACUGGUAUCCACUUAACUUCACCUAUCAUUAACAGUUAAAACUCAUUUCACUAAGUCAUUUCCUUCACUAACAAAAUUUAACAAACCUAACCAACAUCUCACUGAGUUCAAGACAGCUAACUAACUAAGUUUGUAGUUAACUCAGUGAAUCGCUUCUAACUAAAUCAUAACCUCACUCCAAUCCUCCAUUUGAUCUGGAUCUCCUCUCUAUAUAAUCUCCUUUUCACCCUCAUUCCAUGACUACUGACAGUCUGACACACACUGAACAAUACUCUCAUUUUUGCUCUCAUAAUUUAUGUAAUCUUUCUCAAUUACCCUGACUUAAAGCUCCUCUUCAGCAGUCAUUGAAGCUUCAACAUGCCUGAGCGACGGACGUGAGUCAAGCUCAGGGGAGGGAAUUUUAAACUUUUGA